RNAcentral lists this ribosomal RNA (468 nucleotides) under uncultured bacterium. RNAcentral describes it as "partial 16S ribosomal RNA". It matches the Rfam family "Bacterial small subunit ribosomal RNA", at positions 28 to 507 of the family's 1533-position model. The record is from RNAcentral.
GACGAACGCUGGCGGCGUGCUUAACACAUGCAAGUCGAACGGAAAGGCCCUGCCUUUGUGGGGUGCUCGAGUGGCGAACGGGUGAGUAGCACGUGAGUAACCUGCCCUUCACUUUGAGGUAAGUUCAGGUAGGUGUGGUUAAUACCGGGUACGAGCUCCUGCUGCAUGGGGGGGGUGGGAAUGUGUCGGCGGUUGGGGAUGCACUCGGGGCUUAUCAUGUUGUUGGUGGGGUAUUGGCUGACCACGGCGUUGAGGGGUAGCGGGCCUGGGAGGGUGACCGGCCAAAUGGGGAUGGAGAUACGCCCCGGACUCCAACGGGAGGAAGCAGUGGGGAAAAUGCCACAAUGGGCGGAAGCCUAAUGAAGCAACGCCGGGUGCGGGAUGACGGCCUCCGGGUGGUAACCCGCUUUCGCCUGUGACGAACCGUGAGUGACGGUAAUGGGUAAAGAAGCACCGGCUAACUACGUG